UCUCUCUCUCUCUCUCUCUCUCUAAUUAAAGGUGCCUCUCAACCGUAAGUAGGGUUAAUCACCUCAAUUAGGUUUAGUCCUCGCUCUCCUUCGCUCUGGCCGCCGAUUAAAGUAGCGAAUCGAAGUAGCGAAUUUAUGGGUCUUUCUAGAUUUUAUGGGUCUUCAUGAAUAUCUUCUAAUUGAUACUAUUAUAUCGACUUUUUCAUGGAUUUUGUACUAAUUAGGACUGUAAUCUUCAUUUUGCAGGCGAUUAGGGCUCUUUCUUGAGGCUUGAAGUUGGGAAUUUUACUUGGGAUUUCAGCUAGCAAAUAUGGUACGCACGAAGCAAACUGCGCGUAAGUCGACCACUGGCUACGCCGAGAACUGUUUGAGGGUGAAGGUAGUUAUAUAUGAUAUAAGCGGCUUUCGCUAUUAUACUUUGCACUAGUUAUAUGGGCUGAUCCACACUCUGAACUUUUAAGAUCUUUUGGGACUGUAUUUCACUCUUUUGGAUUUGUAAUUAACUAAAUUGUAUCUUUUGGGGAUUCAUAUUAUGUAAUCUAAAUUUCCAGAUUUAUUAUUUAUUUGCCACUUGUUCA
Molecule: long non-coding RNA, 578 nt
Organism: Daucus carota subsp. sativus
Lineage: Eukaryota; Viridiplantae; Streptophyta; Magnoliopsida; Apiales; Apiaceae
Exons: 2
Source: RefSeq, a predicted model, not a curated record